Long non-coding RNA from Mya arenaria, 1271 nucleotides. RefSeq lists it as uncharacterized. The record is from RefSeq and is a predicted model, not a curated record. The transcript is spliced from 6 exons. NCBI's taxonomy places the organism in Eukaryota, Metazoa, Mollusca, Bivalvia, Myida, Myidae.
UGUUUAUUUACGAGAUAAUUUCAUUGUUUUAAAUCUUAUUAUCUUUUAAUAUUAAAAAAAAUAUUCUUAAACUUUUGUGUGUGUAUAUUUGUGUAUCCAUAAAAAUAGCUAUUAAGGCGACCAGGGAAAAAAUCAUAAUUUUGGUCAAAAAUAGCUAUAUACUAAGCAUUUUUUAUUUGUUUUACUUUAUUUAAAGCCUAUUGUAUAUUAUCCCGAAGUUUCAUUCCAUAAAAAACAGAAAUAAGGAAAUUCGAUAUUUCGUGUACCAUCAGCAUCCAAAUUUUCAAGUAUACAGAAAUUUAACUUUCCGGAAUAUAACGGAAAUUUUCGGGUAUCUCCGUGGUACCAUCUCCGUGCAAUUAUGCAGUAUGGCGUUCAUCUCUUACGGAAAGAGAAUGGUAACUUGGUAAGUGUUUAAAAUACAUAUUCAACGUUUUUUUCGUUUAUUUUUAUGACUUUUGUACAGUAGUAUAAAUCGUCCACCCUUUGGAUGAAAAGCAAAUGAUUUAUCCGGAUUUUGUUCAUCCGAAACUAAAUCACUAGUAUCAACAUCCGGUGUAAUUUUUGCUGGUAUUUUGGAGAAACCCGAUUGAUUUCUAGCAAACUUGGUUUACCACUACAUCGUCGCUUAUUAUUGUUUGUUGCUGCUUGGGACAAUAAAGUUAAGUCAGCAACCGUCUACCAGACUGCAAGAUUCAUCUCUUCCAAAGGAUGUUGUACCUUUCCAGAUACACUGUGUUUUGUGUGGAUAAGAAAUGCAGAGUGGUACCACCAAUCACCUAAUGGGGACAGUUCCUGCAAUUUACAGAAAAGCUCUCAAUUGUAGCCCUACGAACUUCAGAUACUGCCGAUGGUGAAGCUUGGGUGCACUAGGCCGGUUUUCCAGCCGUGUGGAAUCAACAUCUCCAUCUGAACUGGGGCCGGGAAUUAUAUAAGACUCCUUAGCAGCAUGAGUGCCAGCCAGUCAUUGCUGUUCUUUGCAUUGCUGAGGAGGACAGUCCUGCCAACAUAACAGUUUGUUCAAUAACAGGAGACAAACAGAAACACAGAGGUGCUAUACAUUCUGAUGGAAAAACAAAAGCAUCUCCCAUCAUUUUGGCGUGGCUCAGAUCAAGAGGAGAAUUUUAAGAAAGGUAAUAACUGAGCAACUAAGAACAUGCAAGUUGCACUGGUUAGAGUGUAAAAAAGACCCAUCUCCCUUCAUAAGAAUUGAUAAUCAUCACUGUAUUAAAUCAAGAAAUUGAAACGUAAGUGUCUUGUCUUUUGCAGUG